This 3166-nucleotide long non-coding RNA is filed under the name Orbicella faveolata. RNAcentral describes it as "uncharacterized LOC110039809". The record is from RNAcentral. Lineage: Eukaryota; Metazoa; Cnidaria; Anthozoa; Scleractinia; Merulinidae.
CGGAAGUCCAAGAAUCUAGGAGUGGAAAAUCCUAUGUCUCCAGAGCCCUCGAUUCUCGUGCCAAGGCACUGCCGGCUAAGAGGAGCAAACAGGGCUUUGGGGUCGACAAUACGCCUGGAACGGCUGGGACCAUGACCCACGUUUUGGCGACCAACAACGACUUGUAUUUUAUGACUCGGGCUUUCCUACGGAAGCCCGAGUAAUAAAGAGAAUGAACAAACUGUGAACAGUGAAACGAGCGCAAAGAAAAUAAACGCCUGAACUUAACGCAACCGAUCAAGUAUAGAUAACAGUCAGGCGAUCCCCGCGCAAACAUAAACAUGAACCGCCCAACGAGCGCAAAGCAAACGAAAGCCCGAAUACAACCCAAACUGAACAGACGGCUGAGAGUGCAGAAGACAUCUAUGCUGUAAAAUGGAAAAAAAAAACCGACUGAUCGCAGAUUUAUAGAAUAAGUAUUAAACCGCUGUGCGCUACUGUACACAGGUUUUUCGCCUCGCGGACAUGAUAUCCCACACAACUUCACAAUUUUAUUGUUGUGCCAACGAUUGAAUACAGAAGAAGUCAAAAGAACGUUCUACAUACCACUCAAGAUAUCAACGUUUCCAUGAAAUCAACUUUGUUUGAAAACGUUCCCCACUUCUUCAUUCACUUGCUGGGGCGAUCGAUCGGCAACCUCGUGUCAGUGUGUCAACUGGUUUUAUUAUUUAGUCAUUGACGCAUCGGAACGUAGAAAUCGUUUUGUAGACAUUCAAAAACAUUGGGAAUUCCUUUUUAGGCAUUGAUACGAAAAAAUAUUCUUGAGAUGGGCUCUUCUCUUACUUGCGGAAGAGCAAAAUUCAUAGCUUCUGAGUGUUUACUCUGUAAAACGUUGCGAAAUUGUGUCUCCCUUUAUCUCGGAUCAUAAAAAGUGUUGAAAUUUGUUUUCGUUAUUCUCUUCUUGUAGUCUUAACAGCCCUUUUUUUCUUUCUUUUACAACUUGAUCUAUUACAUUAGAACAUGUUGAAAAAGCCUUGGUGCCUCUGUCUUUUUCAGGCUCUAUUGCACCUCUAAGCUCGACCCCUGUUCCUGAUGCCUCGUCGGGAGCGUCCUCUUGAUUCUCCAAGCCUCUCAAACUCGAAAGUUGAUGUAACAGGUGUGACCUCUGUUGAUGAAUGUGCACCCAUGCAGAGUGUUCAGUUGCGGGGAGCAAACAUCUCCUUUGGCACAGUUGUUGGAAAUCCCUUUUCCGUGUUGCGACAAGACGGAGACAAUAAUGAUGAUGAUGAUGAUGGUGAUUAUGCUGCCUGAGUUGGUUCUGACAACUCCACAAGUAGCACUGACAGCUUUGGUGUGUUUAGUGGAGAUCAGCAUUUAACAAACAGGUACGGCUAUAUUUUGGCUGGAAACAGAGUAAACCAUCACUUGUUGUUUUUGAUGGCCUGUUACCUAUUUUCAGUCAAAUACAUUAUAUACCGUAAUACUUAUGUUUAUUUGAGAUACAGAUAAACUAUUGUUGUUGAUGAUGUUGUUUUGCCUAAAAUUGUGCCUUGAUCUAUGUUCAUGUCCAUUUUUAUUUUCUUUGGUAGGAUGCAAUUGUAGAAAAGUGCAGUUGCUAUUUUGCUGAACUCUCUAUUAUACCUACUGUCAGUAUUUUAAAUUGUUAAAGAAGUUUUCGUUUUUUCGGGUAGUAGUUAAGAGCAAAUCAAAACAGCUACUGUAAAUUAUGAAUGUAGGAAUGAGGAAGGGUUUCUACAAACAAGUUACACAAUUUGCUUUUUUCUUCAUUUGCUUACAGUCAUGAAUUGGAACUUGACAAUGAUGAUGAAACCAAGUUGGUUUGUGAAGUCAUGGAGAUAAGUGUUGAGGAUGAUGAGUGUACAAUCACCAUGGUGGAAGAUAUCGUCAGCGUGUCGCAAAUGUCCUUACCAACUUUACAACCUCUUACUGAGGAGGAAGCUGUUAUUGUGGAUGAUGAUGUACAAGCUCCAAGAGAUUGUGGUAUAGCCAUUGAGUCAGCACCAAAUGAAGAGCCAUCUACUUCUAAGAAAGUUAUUGACAACAGGGAGAAGCUGUUACUUGACUUAGAAAAUUGAUUGGCCAAACUGACAAACAUUGGUAAUGAAUUAAAAGAAUUUGCAGUUCUUCAUGAAAGAAGUAGCUCCAUUGUUUCAGCGGAAAAACUACUGGAGCUGGCUGGGUUUAACUGCACAGUGGAGACUGAUGGGCAUGUGUGCAGUUGCCCAUUGACCCAUGAGACCAAGACUGGUAGUGGGAAUCUGGAGUUGCUCUCAAAAUGUACCAAUGGCCACAGCAAAAAGUGGGUGUACUCCAAGGUGCUUACUCAAAAAAGGAAUCAAUUUACCUAAAUGAUUCCUUUUUGCCUGCAGGGAUUAUCAUCUUGGGCAACAACUACGAGAAAGUCAGCCUGCUUUGUAAAGCCCUUGGCCUAAAUAUAGUGGGAAGAAACAUAUUAAUGCGUUUCCAGAAGCACUGUGCUGCGCCAGUGGUGGAGGAGGUAUUGAUGGAGAUUGGCGAAAUGACUCCCCAGCUCACAGUGCCUGCUACCGCAUUUACACCCCCAUGGAGCAAUUCACCGACAUUGUAGUCGACUCUGAAGUAAGAGACAAAAGAGAGACUGGGGGCAAUUCCACUGGAAUGGAAAAAGAGGCACUGAGAAGGUUACUGGAGAGAAUGGCAACCAUAUUUCCAUUCGACGAUGUAACAACAGAUGCCUCCCCAAUAAUCAUCAAACUUGUCAGGGAUUUAAAAGAAAAGUUUCCCCAACAGAUGGAGCUAUUCCAUUCGCUGAAGAAAGCUUUUCAUCAGGUAAGUUCAGCCAGUAGUUUUGGGAAUGUUCAGUUUUUUCAUUUUCCAUCCUUCACUUACAUAGCAAGCGAAACAGGUCAUACAGGACUUUGAACAGCCUCUUUUGCAAAUUAAAUCUGUAUGGAAUUGCAGGAUCAUGAAAUGUGCUAUGUAUCAAUUAAUAAUUUCACAUUUUUGCUGCAUUAGGUUCCCAAGAUUAAAGGCUGUGGUGAACUGCAGGAGUAGACUGACUGUAUUGUAGAUCAUUUGUAGUUUUGCAGUCAGGAUUCCUAGGAAUUCCAACUGAAAUAUACUCACCUUGAAAAUUCCUUAAAAUUCCCAAAAAUUCCUAGGAAUUUCUGAGAAUAACUUGGAAUUU